CCAAUAAUGACGACACAUUUUGUAUUCUUAUUCUUAUUCUUUCUAAACCUUUCCCUUCCAUCUUCGAAGCAAUGCUGGGUAUUAGUUCCAAGGCAGAAAAGCAGAACGGGCUCGGUAAUUGGAAUGAAGUGACCUGUUCAGGGUCACACAGUCUGAGACCAGAUUUGGACCAUCUCUAGACCUGGCUCUCAAUCCACUGGGUCUCCUAGCUGCCCCCAACACCAAUACAUUAGGACCAAUAAUUAUCAUAAUUAUUGGAAAUAUUAGUAUGCCCACGUGAUUAAUAUUAAUAAGUAUUCAUAAUUGCCAUUGGCAAUAUUAUUCUAGAAUACACAUGCAUCAUUAUUAACGAUAAUUAUUGAUAACUAUUAUCACCAACAUUAUUGAUGAUGAUAAUGACAAUAUAAUGCUUGUAGAUAACACUUUUAGGUUUGCAAAUUGGCUUACAUAUGUGGGAUGGCAGCCUCAUCCCUCCCCUAGUCUGAAGCGUGGAUGGGUGAGCCAGCAGCAAUUUUCUGAGAUUACUGGCUAUCCAUCAAAAGAACCCCGUUCUCCUGACCUGUUGAAGUCAGGAAGUUCUGGCUGUUCUCUUGCCUGUUUUGCUAGUGAAGAAACUGGCUUUCAAAGAAGUCAAAUGACUUACCUUGGGAAAUUGUUUCAGAAAGAAGAAAUGACCCCCAAGUAUCACAGGGCUUAGACAUGGGCAGGUUUUUAAGAGAUUUUCUAACUGGUCCCUUAUUUGAAAGAAGCCCAUACAGGUGAAAAGACUUCCUUCCUUCCCUUCCUUUCUCUUUGUCUUUCUGUCUCUCUGUCUUUCUUUCUUUCCUUCUUUCUUUCCUUGUCUUUCUUUCUUCCUCCCCCCUCCCUUCCUUCCCUUUUCUUUUUCUUUCUCUUUCUCUCUUCCUUCCUUUUUUGUCUUUCUCUUUCUGUCUCUUUCUCUUUCCCUCUCUUUCUGUCUGCCUCUUCCUUCCUUUCCUUCUUUUUCUUUCCUUCUUUCUUUCCUUCUUCCUUCCUUUCCUUCUUUUUCUUUCCUUCUUUCUUUCCUUCCUCCCUUUCUUUCUUUCUUUCUUUCUUUCUUUCUUUCUUUCCUUCUUCCUUCCUUCCUUCCUUUCCUUCUUUUUCUUUCCUCCUUUUUCCUUCUUUCUUUCCUUCCUCCCUCCCUUUCUUUCUCUUUCUUUCUUUCUUUCUUUCUUUCUUUCUUUCUUUCUUUCUUUCUUUCUUUCUUUCUUUCUUUCUUUCUUCCUUCCUUCCUUCCUUCCUUCCUUCCUUCCUUCCUUCCUUCCUUCCUUCCUUCCUUCCUAUCUAUCAAUACUGUGUAUUGGUUCCAAGCAGAAGAGCCAUUAAGGUCUAGGCAACUGGGGUAAAAUGACUUUGAACCCAAGAUCUUCUAUUUCUAGACCUGGCUCUCAAACCACUGAGCCACUGAGCUGCCUCCAAGAAGGAACUGUCUAAAGAUCACUUAGCUAAUUAGGCAUGCUAGUCAGAAUUAGGCCUGGCACCCACGUUUUCUGCUUCUUUCCAGAAGCAAAUCCUAAAUCCUCUUCUAUUAUUCCCUCUCAAUCAGGUUAUAAAAUAGUUUUACUUGUCCAGAACAUGGAUGUGAUUUAAUUUUUUUAAUGUUCUAUAUAAAUAUGGGUGUUGAGAGAAAAAAAGAGAUAACCUUAAAAAUAUAUAUUGGACAAAUCAAUAUAUAUUUGAAAACAAAACCAUAUAUGUGUGUGUGUAUCUAUUCAAGUGAACAAUUACUUCUGGAUAUCCUCUGUCUCCUCGGUGGUCUUCCUUUGCAAUGAAAAAAAAAGGAACAGUUAAGCAAAACUAUGAGACUAGUAUGUGUCAGCGUAUGCAGCACUUCCAACCAUAGUCCUCUACCUCUUCAAGAAAAGACGAAGAGGGGGCAGCUGGGUAGCUCAGUGGAUUGAGAGCCAGGCCUAGAGACGGGAGGUCCUAGGUUCAAAUCUGGCCUCAGACACUUCCCAGCUGUGUGACCCUGGGCAAGUCACUUGGCCCCCAUUGCCUAGCCCUUACCACUCUUCUGCCUUGGAGCCAAUACACAGUAUUGAGUCUAGGAUGGAAGGUAAGGGUUAUUAAAAAAAAAAGAAAAGACAAAGAAUAUUUCCUCUCCUCUUUGCCCGCUGACUUCGCUUCUCUCGUGCCCAUUGCCGCUUUCCUCCAAUCAUGGUGAACAUUCAGAGGGAGUAAAGACCAGGCGUUGUAGGAAGGAUGAGGAACUGCAGCCACUUGUAGUCUCCCCAUCCCACCUGGAGAAUCUGUCAUGCCAUUUCUGAGUCAAUGAGUCUCUCUGAUUCCCUGAGGCCGGAGCACCAGCAUCCUAGGACAAAGGGAUACUCAAG
This 2351-nucleotide long non-coding RNA is filed under the name Monodelphis domestica (gray short-tailed opossum). Its description in RNAcentral is "lncRNA (ENSMODG00000037851.1)". The record is from RNAcentral. Lineage: Eukaryota; Metazoa; Chordata; Mammalia; Didelphimorphia; Didelphidae.